AAGGUUUUCUAAUAAAUUAUGUUUUUAUCAGAUAUGACAGAAUCUUUUUUAAAAUCUCUUCAAUAUGCUUUUAUUGCUUUUGAGAGGUUUUGUUACUUUGAGUAAAAUUAAGUGUUCAUAACAGACGGGUAGUCAUGAUUUGAGUUCAUUGUGUA
This 155-nucleotide ribosomal RNA is filed under the name Plasmodium falciparum (malaria parasite P. falciparum). Its description in RNAcentral is "partial small subunit ribosomal RNA". Lineage: Eukaryota; Apicomplexa; Aconoidasida; Haemosporida; Plasmodiidae. The record is from RNAcentral.